RNAcentral lists this ribosomal RNA (468 nucleotides) under uncultured bacterium. Its description in RNAcentral is "partial 16S ribosomal RNA". It matches the Rfam family "Bacterial small subunit ribosomal RNA", at positions 28 to 507 of the family's 1533-position model. The record is from RNAcentral.
GACGAACGCUGGCGGCGUGCUUAACACAUGCAAGUCGAACGGAAAGGCCCUGCUUUUGUGGGGUGCUCGAGUGGCGAACGGGUGAGUAACACGUGAGUAACCUGCCCUUGACUUUGGGAUAACUUCAGGAAACUGGGGCUAAUACCGGAUAGGAGCUCCUGCUGCAUGGUGGGGGUUGGAAAGUUUCGGCGGUUGGGGAUGGACUCGCGGCUUAUCAGCUUGUUGGUGGGGUAGUGGCUUACCAAGGCUUUGACGGGUAGCCGGCCUGAGAGGGUGACCGGCCACAUUGGAACUGAGAUACGGCCCAGACUCCUACGGGAGGCAGCAGUGGGGAAUAUUGCACAAUGGGCGGAAGCAUGAUGCAGCAACGCCGCGUGCGGGAUGACGGCCUUCGGGUUGUAAACCGCUUUCGCCUGUGACGAAGCGUGAGUGACGGUAAUGGGUAAAGAAGCACCGGCUAACUACGUG